RNAcentral lists this ribosomal RNA (253 nucleotides) under uncultured bacterium. Its description in RNAcentral is "partial 16S ribosomal RNA". It matches the Rfam family "Bacterial small subunit ribosomal RNA", at positions 524 to 776 of the family's 1533-position model. The record is from RNAcentral.
UACAGAGGUGGCAAGCGUUGUUCGGAAUUACUGGGCGUAAAGGGCGCGUAGGCGGCCCGAUAAGUCCCGCGUGAAAGCCCCCGGCUCAACUGGGGAACUGCGCGGGAAACUAUUGGGCUUGAGAUCGGGAGAGGGAAGCGGAAUUCCGGGUGUAGCGGUGAAAUGCGUAGAUAUCCGGAGGAACACCAGUGGCGAAGGCAGCGCUCUGGGACGUGACUGACGCUGAGACGCGAAAGCGUGGGGAGCAAACAGG